GCAAUAACAAAUGACAGUUCAAAUUUUAAUGUAUUAUUCAUGUUUCUCCAGAGUUAAUAAUCAUAUUUCUAGGGACCUUUUAAGAAUUUAUUGCUUCAUACACAUUCCAAUACCAACAAUUAUUAGUUUAUAAAGCACAUAUCCGUCUACACUUUAACAAACUUACAAUUGUUUCUUCUUUCUUAUAAUGUCAAUCAUUAAUCACAUAUUAAAGAUUUCACAUUGUUCAACAAGUGAAAAUUAUAGAUUAUUUUAAUGGGAUUGAGAAUGAGAAUAGCAAUGAAAAAAAAAAACAAACAGACAACGGUCUUAGGUUGGGCCUGGUCAACACAUCAAGGGAGUUAAAUGUCAACGAUGUUAUUAUUUGCACCUUGUUUUGACAGACAUCAAUUGUGAUUCAAUUAAUCAUCGUAACACGUUCUCAAAAGUGUACCUCUAGCAAAAAAGUCAAUGAAGCCUAAUUAAAUUCAAUUAAAUAAAUACAAAUUAGUAAAACUUUCCAAAUGAAAGAGGGGAAGAGAGACAAGCAAAUGGAGAUCAAUGAACAUAAGUACAAUAUGAAACAUUUACCCUCAUAUUGCGCUGCAAGUUCUUAAUUCACUCCUGCUUGAAGUGAGAUCAACUGAACCCAUGCGAUUUGUUCUCCAUUCAAAUAAAACCAAAUAUAUGUAUGUAUGGAUGUAUAUAAAAUCAAAAUAGGGUGAUGACUUUGAGAUGGCAUAUUGAAUAUGAAAAAAUACUCAGAGCAAAUGAC
Molecule: long non-coding RNA, 754 nt
Organism: Stomoxys calcitrans (stable fly)
Lineage: Eukaryota; Metazoa; Arthropoda; Insecta; Diptera; Muscidae
Exons: 3
Source: RefSeq, a predicted model, not a curated record